This 230-nucleotide long non-coding RNA is filed under the name Elaeis guineensis (African oil palm). Its description in RNAcentral is "long non-coding RNA (EGUI_LNC011975)". Lineage: Eukaryota; Viridiplantae; Streptophyta; Magnoliopsida; Arecales; Arecaceae. The record is from RNAcentral.
CAUCAUGUGCGGCUUAACACCAUAUUUUUUAGGCAAAAUUUGAUAUAUUAACUCAAAACUCAUAUAUGAGUCAAUUUUUAAGUGAGGCUCUAAUACCCUAGCUAUUAAUUUGGAGUUUGCAUUAUUAUUUUUUAUAGGCUUCACAUAUGUAUGAUGCUCCUAUAAAAUUUUUAUCAUGAAGGUCCUACUAUCAUGUAUAAUGGAUGCAUAAAUUCUUCCGGUACAUCCUU